This 255-nucleotide ribosomal RNA is filed under the name uncultured bacterium. Its description in RNAcentral is "partial 16S ribosomal RNA". The record is from RNAcentral.
CUGCUGCCUUCCGUAGGAGUUUGGGCCGUGUCUCAGUCCCAAUGUGGCCGUUCACCCUCUCAGGCCGGCUACUGAUCGUCGCCUUGGUGGGCUGUUACCCCGCCAACAAGCUAAUCAGACGCGGAUCCAUCGUAUACCACCGGAGUUUUUCGCACCGUCUCAUGCGAGACUGUGCGCUUAUGCGGUAUUAGCACCUAUUUCUAAGUGUUAUCCCCCAGUAUACGGCAGGUUAUCCACGCGUUACUCACCCGUCCG